CACUACAUAAUCAUUUAUUAUCUUUACAAUUAACCAUCUAAAGCUACCACAGUUCUUCAAUCAAAGUAUAUAUCUACAUAUAUAGAGAGUACACUUUAUAAUUUCGUCUCUUGUCUUCCGUAAACGUAGCACGAAAAUUUGAGACCCAGUAUUGUAAGACAGGUCGUAGAAGCAGUCUUCCUGCACAUAUUUAAAAAUAAUAGUAAAUUAGAAAAAUAAAGCAAAUAGGUCACCAGAGACUUAGUGCCAAAAUCAAUACACGAAGACAACAAUGUUAUGUUAUUUUCUUACUAAUUAAGGGACAUGAAAGAAGGUAAUACUCUUUUUAUUGACUACCAAAUUAAUAUCUAAAUCAAAUAUCCUGAAGAAAGAAAAAAAAAAAGAGGAAUCUUUGCUUUCUCCAGUAGUCCUUUAAAUCCAUUGCUUCAUUUUUCUUCUUCUUUGUGCUUAAUAAUAGUCCAUUGUAUUGAAAGAUAACAACUACCCAUCUCCUUAAAACAGAGAAAAAAGAGAUUGAAAUUUACAAGAAGGGGAAAUCAACAGUUAUUUUUUUCCCUUUUGACAAGACCUAAAACAAAUUCCCACUCUACAUAAAUGAAAAGACCUUUUUCAGCAGUACUUACAAUCAAAAGCAAAAUAACUAAUGAAUACUAGUAAUAACUAAUUUCAGCAACACCCCAACAAGUAAAAUACCCCAAAUGCUUUUAAAACCCAAAGCUGUCAUUUUCUUUAAUCAAAGAAAAUGGCUCAUACACAGUUCUUUAUGUGCUCUCACUGAAACUUAUGCAUACCUAAAACUAAAGGUUUCUUAAUAUUAGUAGUAAAUUAACUCGGUACAGGAAAGUCAGAUUUGACAUAUAUACCCUCAUUUGCAAGAGCAUGAAGCAAUGUUAUUUAACAUGGAAUGCAAAUUGAAAUUUGAAGGCUGAAAAAUUUGAAAGAGUGGUAAACAUGGGGGACCCACGAUUAGACCCACUCUUAACAACAAAUACAUGACUAUUGUUCAUCUUCUCCAAAAUCUUGACAUUUUGACCAUCCCCAUGCAAACCCAUAUCCAGAUCAGGUAUGAUGAAAACCAAGGGGCUUAGUGCCAUAUUUACAUUAAAUAAGAGCCUCUUGCAGUUGGGAGAUAUUUGUUAUAAUAAAAGAAGAAGAAAAAUUAAACAAGGCAAUGGUAUUAAACCUUUCUACAUUGGCUAGAUUGGAUUCAUUAAUACCUCACAAGAGCUUAACAUUAUGAGCAUCAAAAUAGCCCAAACAUGCAACCAACACUGCCAGGCUAGCCUCAGCUACUGCAGCGCAGUGCGGGAGGCAGCAAGCAGCGCAGCGCGGGAGGCAGCGCGCGUGCGCAGCUGCUACAACCUGCCCUGCUGCGGCUCACUUCCAGCGGCCUACUUCGCCAAUUUUUAGUUUUCAAACCACAUGUCCAAUUGCAAUAAAACUUAAGCAUGUUAGAGAAGGUAUGUAAUAAUAUAUUUAAAAAAUACAACUCAUCUAAUUUGGACAUUUUAGACCAGUCCAACAGAGCCACCAAACUGCUCUGUUGAGACAGUUUUUAGAUCGAGCGUUAACAUGUUAUUCAUUCCAAAACAGUUUUCUAAUCCCAUUAGGCCUACAAAAACAACUUAAUAUACUUAAUAUAACAUAUAUAAAGAGUUCUUGAUCACUACAUUAAAUAAAAAAACAAACAUAGCACAACUGAUUCCAAUAUAGAAUCAACUCAAGUAUUCCAAAUAUGCUACAAGAUCAUAUAAUUUAAGUCCGGUUAUAAGUUCCAUUACAGUUAAACUGUUUUAAAAUGUAAGUAGUUCCUUCAAGUUAUUUAAUGAAAGAAUAUUUGUAAUAAUAUUAUUUUUUGCACAUGAUCAUUUCCUACAAAACUCACCACCAAAGACACUCAAACACUAAUGUUGACGCCUGUUAAAAUAGGCACAAAUCCCCCAUCCAAGCAAUUCAUAAAUAAAGAAAGACGAGACCCAAGUGAUGUGAGCUGCAGAAAACUCAACCAUAAUGCAGUGACAGAGAACAUCUUUUGCAAAAUUUAAUCUUAAAGAAUACUGAUAAGUAAGCUAAAUGUGUAGCAAGUGACUAUGACAAACCUGAUCAAGAGAAAACUCGUGAUUGAAAAUGUCAAGUAGAAAUUUACAUCAAAAUGAAUCAUUGGAUAAUUUAUAAGUUGGGGUGGUUCCACAAAGCUGAGUGGACACCAUGACCAAUAAAAAAUAGAAUAUUUGUCUAGAUGUUUUGGUUUGCAAAUAUUCUUAGAGACCACCAUAUUUUUCUUCUACAAAUACCAUUCCUGCUAGCUGAUAUGUACCUUAAUUUGAACACAUACAAAAAUUGCCUCGAGCCAUGGCAAGCCAAUCCCCUCACAUUCGAUGCCUUUUCUUUCUCAGUCUCUCCUGGUUUUUGCUCAUUACCCACACUGAAUAUACUGACCCAAGCCAAAAGGUAAGAACUCCACCAACAUUGGUUUUCCAGCAAAAAUUCAACAAUUACCUCAAUGCUAAUUAAUGAUUACUGCAUUACAUACGUUCUACAAAAAGUAGUCUCAUUUUAUAAAUUUGUUUUGUCGGAUAAGAAGAGUUCACUUUUUAGUAGUAAUAGUGUAAAAUAAUACAAUAUUCUUAAAUUAAUUAUUAUAAUUUCGUUAUUAUAUCACAUUGCUAAACCUAACAUUUUAUUAUUUUUAUUAUUUUUAGGAGUAUGUAUAAAAUAUAUAUAUACACUAGUAAAUUAAUUCGUAGAUUUUGAAAAUGGACUACUUUUCUAGAACAGAGCAACUAUACCAAUUAGUUUAAAAUUUUCUUGAUAACAUUAAGGCAAAAAAUUUGGCUUUAAUGUCUGCAUAUUCACAAAGUUAAACAUCUUGAUAUAGUAUUGGCAAUAUAUAUAUAUAUAUAUAUAUAUAUAUAUAUAUAUAUAUAUAUAUAUAUAUAUAUAUAUAUAUAUAGUAAUAAUUGGUAUAGGACUGGAGUUUACUUUUGGACUAGUUAGUGAUUAAUGAAUUCUAUUAUGUAUUGUGAUAAUUUUGAAUGAAUUAUAAUUGCGAAAUAUAGCAGCAUAUGAGUUUUAAUAGAAUUAUAAGAGUGACUCACCUCUUACAUAUCUUUUCAAGAAGAGUUGCCACUAGUUCUUAUUAUUUAUAACUUACGACCAAAAAUUUGACACAAACAUCUGCAAACUACAUUUUCCAAUUUGUAAAAGCCAUAGAUUUUGAUAUUUGACAAAUGAUAACAGCAACGCAGCAUGUGCACAGAGCAAUAGACGGGCUAAAAUGGAUGGUCAAGUAUGGGAAAUAACAUGAAUAUUGAUGAACUGACAUUUUUAGAACAUGCUUAAAACAUCAAACAAAAUAUAUCAAAAGGUAGGCCAAUUGCUAAUAAAGGUAAUCAAGUUUUGAACUCUCACAAGGAACUCUCAUUAGACAAUUUGUGAUGUAUAUUGAAAAUCAUAAACCCUUAAAGAUUAAUUAAAACACACAUACCAAAUAUCAAAGCAAUACAGGACAAACUGAUUUAUGUUCAAGAAUUUGGACCUAAAAGACUCACCAUAUGUGCAUACGAACACACAGACACAAUUAAUUGACAAUGGGUGUGUGUAUAUUCUGUGUAUGUAUGUGUGUGAUAAUGUGUGUGUGAAUGAGUAUAACAGUGGGUGGGUGUAUGUGUGUGAGUAUAAUAUGUAGUGGGUGUGAGAGUAACUUACCAAACAACCAAAUCAAAUCCAAAUCAAGCCUCCUCCGUUCGCCUCCUCAUGCCCAAAUUAAAAGGUUAAGGUGUGGCUUAUAUAGUCCCCUUUUUUUUUUGCUUGAAAGUCACCAUCCUCUACAAAUCACAAGAUGCCCACCCAAUCUUUUUGCCCUAAAAUAUUCAUGUUGAGGGAGUUAGUUUUUCCUUUACAUAUACCUGUAUAGGAAAUUGAGUUAUUCCCUAUGUAUAUAUCUUAAAUUAAUAUGAUACAACAGUACCCUAUUACUGCAAGUAAUCAAAGUUAAUUCCUUACUCAAAAUAUACUAGAGAACAUGUUUAAAAAGCUAUAUAUUAAAAGUAUUGAUAAUUUUACAUAUAUUGAGUUCUUAGAGUAAAAAUCAAUAGACAAUAUACGCAACGGUAGAUUCCUCAAAAAUUAUAGCAAUAAUUUCACACCAUCUUCAUGUAAAUCAGUCUUAAGACAUCAAAAUAUUCUCUACAUAUUAACUGAUUUCUCAAUAAAAAAUUAGGGCAAAUAAUUUUUGAAGUGAAGCAAAACCAAUUAAUAUAACAAAAGAAAUUACUCAGUAGAAAACUACUUACACAAAUAUAUUAACAGAAUACAAUAUAAAAAUCAAUGAUGACAAAGCAGAGAUUGAUUCGGUGAUUCCCGUUUUUGAAGAAGAUGGAGAUGAUUUAGAGACAAUGGAGAGUCGGAGAGCGAGAAAGAAGAUGGAGAUAGAGAGAGUCGAUGAUCAUAAUGGCCACAAUGAUGAGGUAGAGAGUCGAUGGCGAUUAUGAACAUUAAGCAGUGGAGACGACUAACGAGACUGGAGACUGGAGACUGGAGAGAAACAGAGAGUAGCUAGAGAGUAGAGACGAUGGCUGAGUUUUGAUUUGGGAAUAAAUGGAUAAACGUUGAACCCACUCA
Molecule: long non-coding RNA, 4623 nt
Filed under: Panax ginseng (ginseng)
Lineage: Eukaryota; Viridiplantae; Streptophyta; Magnoliopsida; Apiales; Araliaceae
Description: long non-coding RNA (PGIN_LNC010753)
Source: RNAcentral